Molecule: microRNA, 22 nt
Filed under: Salmo salar (Atlantic salmon)
Lineage: Eukaryota; Metazoa; Chordata; Actinopteri; Salmoniformes; Salmonidae
Description: ssa-miR-130d-1-5p
Gene: ssa-miR-130d-1-5p
Source: miRBase by way of RNAcentral
GCUCUUUUAAUGUUGUACUACU